CACUCCUGCGGGAGGCAGCAGUGGGGAAUAUUGGACAAUGGGGGCAACCCUGAUCCAGCCAUGCCGCGUGAGUGAUGAAGGCCCUAGGGUUGUAAAGCUCUUUUGUGCGGGAAGAUAAUGACGGUACCGCAAGAAUAAGCCCCGGCUAACUUCGUGCCAGCAGCCGCGGUAAUACGAAGGGGGCUAGCGUUGCUCGGAAUCACUGGGCGUAAAGGGUGCGUAGGCGGGUCUUUAAGUCAGGGGUGAAAUCCUGGAGCUCAACUCCAGAACUGCCUUUGAUACUGAGGAUCUUGAGUCCGGAAGAGGUGAGUGGAACUGCGAGUGUAGAGGUGAAAUUCGUAGAUAUUCGCAAGAACACCAGUGGCGAAGGCGGCUCACUGGUCCGGUACUGACGCUGAGGCACGAAAGCGUGGGGAGCAAACAGGAUUAGAUACCCGGGUAGUCCCAU
RNAcentral lists this ribosomal RNA (448 nucleotides) under uncultured organism. RNAcentral's name for it is "partial 16S ribosomal RNA". It matches the Rfam family "Bacterial small subunit ribosomal RNA", at positions 334 to 798 of the family's 1533-position model. The record is from RNAcentral.